GCGCCCGUAGCUCAGUUGGAUAGAGCGUAUGCCUCCGGAGCAUAAGGACACAGGUUCAAAUCCUGUCGGGCGUACCA
RNAcentral lists this transfer RNA (77 nucleotides) under Elusimicrobiota bacterium. RNAcentral describes it as "Elusimicrobia bacterium (anaerobic digester metagenome) tRNA-Arg". It matches the Rfam family "tRNA". Rfam says of the family: Transfer RNA (tRNA) molecules are approximately 80 nucleotides in length. Their secondary structure includes four short double-helical elements and three loops (D, anti-codon, and T loops). Further hydrogen bonds mediate the characteristic L-shaped molecular structure. tRNAs have two regions of fundamental functional importance: the anti-codon, which is responsible for specific mRNA codon recognition, and the 3' end, to which the tRNAs corresponding amino acid is attached (by aminoacyl-tRNA synthetases). tRNAs cope with the degeneracy of the genetic code in two manners: having more than one tRNA (with a specific anti-codon) for a particular amino acid; and 'wobble' base-pairing, i.e. permitting non-standard base-pairing at the 3rd anti-codon position. The record is from RNAcentral. Lineage: Bacteria; Pseudomonadati; Elusimicrobiota.